GGUGCAUUGGUUUUGAAGUAGUGAAUUAUCUUUGAAUUAAACAGAUUUGUUUACAAUAUGUUAAAAAUGAUUUAAAUUUGAUAGAUUAUGAUAUGAGCGAGAACCAUAAUGCAGAUAGAUUCUCUUUAUUACCUAACGGUCCGGUUUUUCCUCCAUCGCACCUUAAUAGAUUAUAAUUUACUUUUUCGUAAUUUAACUUAUUAUUUUCUAUAAGUAUAUC
Cinara cedri is the source of this 220-nucleotide non-coding RNA. The record is from the annotation of a GenBank genome assembly. NCBI's taxonomy places the organism in Eukaryota, Metazoa, Arthropoda, Insecta, Hemiptera, Aphididae.